This 300-nucleotide ribosomal RNA is filed under the name uncultured Desulfurococcus sp. Its description in RNAcentral is "bacterial SSU rRNA". The stretch from base 53 to 300 matches the Rfam family "Bacterial small subunit ribosomal RNA", at positions 548 to 795 of the family's 1533-position model. Lineage: Archaea; Thermoproteati; Thermoproteota; Thermoprotei; Desulfurococcales; Desulfurococcaceae. The record is from RNAcentral.
GGAGGAGGGGGAUGGGAGGAGAGGUGAAGACGUAGGGGUGUAGCGUUGAGCUGAAUUCGUGGUCGUAAAGCGUGCGAGGGGGGUUUUGUAAGACAGUGGGGAAAUCCCCGUGCUCAACCUGGGAAGUGCCUUGGGGACUGCAAAGCUGGAGUGCGGCAGAGGGGGAUGGAAUUACGCGUGUAGCAGUGAAAUGCGUAGAUAUGCGGAGGAACACCGAUGGCGAAGGCAAUCCCCUGGGCCUGCACUGACGCUCAUGCACGAAAGCGUGGGGAGCAAACAGGAUUAGAUACCCGUGUAGUC